AGAGUUUGAUCAUGGCUCAGGACGAACGCUGGCGGCGUGCUUAACACAUGCAAGUCGAGCGGAAAGGCCCUUCGGGGUACUCGAGCGGCGAACGGGUGAGUAACACGUGAGCAACCUGCCCCUGGCUCUGGGAUAGCUCCGGGAAACCGGGAUUAAUACCGGAUGUGACCUGCUUACGCAUGUUUGCGGGUGGAAAGGUUUUUCCGGCUGGGGAUGGGCUCGCGGCCUAUCAGCUUGUUGGUGGGGUGAUGGCCUACCAAGGCGACGACGGGUAGCCGGCCUGAGAGGGCGGGCGGCCACACUGGGACUGAGACACGGCCCAGACUCCUACGGGAGGCAGCAGUGGGGAAUAUUGCGCAAUGGGCGGAAGCCUGACGCAGCGACGCCGCGUGGGGGAUGAAGGCCUUCGGGUUGUAAACCUCUUUCAGCAGGGGCGAAGCGAGAGUGACGGUACCUGCAGAAGAAGCGCCGGCUAACUACGUGCCAGCAGCCGCGGUAAUACGUAGGGCGCAAGCGUUGUCCGGAAUUAUUGGGCGUAAAGAGCUCGUAGGCGGCUAGUUGCGUCUGCUGUGAAAUCCCGGGGCUUAACCCCGGGCGUGCAGUGGAUACGGGCUGGCUGGAGGCAGGCAGGGGAGAAUGGAAUUCCCGGUGUAGCGGUGAAAUGCGCAGAUAUCGGGAGGAACACCGGUGGCGAAGGCGGUUCUCUGGGCCUGUUCUGACGCUGAGGAGCGAAAGCGUGGGGAGCGAACAGGAUUAGAUACCCCGGUAGUCC
This 772-nucleotide ribosomal RNA is filed under the name uncultured bacterium. RNAcentral's name for it is "bacterial SSU rRNA". It matches the Rfam family "Bacterial small subunit ribosomal RNA", at positions 8 to 796 of the family's 1533-position model. The record is from RNAcentral.